RNAcentral lists this ribosomal RNA (1432 nucleotides) under Mycobacterium sp. RNAcentral describes it as "bacterial LSU rRNA". It matches the Rfam family "Bacterial large subunit ribosomal RNA", at positions 1466 to 2925 of the family's 2925-position model. The record is from RNAcentral. Lineage: Bacteria; Bacillati; Actinomycetota; Actinomycetes; Mycobacteriales; Mycobacteriaceae.
GGGGUGACGCAGGAAGGUAGCCGUACCAGUCAGUGGUAAUACUGGGGCAAGCCUGUAGGGAGAGCGAUAGGCAAAUCCGUCGUUCAUAUUCCUGAGAGGUGAUGCAUAGCCGAUUGAGGUGAAUUCGGUGAUCCUCAGCUGCCAAGAAAAGCCUCUAGCGAGCACACACAUGGCCCGUACCCCAAACCGACACAGGUGGUCAGGUAGAGAAUACCAAGGCGUACGAGAUAACUAUGGUUAAGGAACUCGGCAAAAUACCUCCGUAACUUCGGGAGAAGGAGGGCCGGCAUACCGUGAACAGCCUUGCGCUGGGAGCGGGCACCGGUCGCAGAAACCAGUGAGAAGCGACUGUUUACUAAAAACACAGGUCCGUGCGAAGUCGCAAGACGAUGUAUACGGACUGACGCCUGCCCGGUGCUGGAAGGUUAAGAGGACCCGUUAACUCGUAAGGGUGAAGCGGAGAAUUUAAGCCCCAGUAAACGGCGGUGGUAACUAUAACCAUCCUAAGGUAGCGAAAUUCCUUGUCGGGUAAGUUCCGACCUGCACGAAUGGCGUAACGACUUCUCAACUGUCUCAACCAUAGACUCGGCGAAAUUGCACUACGAGUAAAGAUGCUCGUUACGCGCGGCAGGACGAAAAGACCCCGGGACCUUCACUACAACUUGGUAUUGGUGUUCGGUACGGUUUGUGUAGGAUAGGUGGGAGACUGUGAAACUCCAACGCUAGUUGGGGCGGAGUCGUUGUUGAAAUACCACUCUGAUCGUAUUGGAUACCUAACUUCGAACCCUAUAUCGGGUUCAGGGACAGUGCCUGGCGGGUAGUUUAACUGGGGCGGUUGCCUCCUAAAAUGUAACGGAGGCGCCCAAAGGUUCCCUCAACCUGGACGGCAAUCAGGUGUUGAGUGUAAAUGCACAAGGGAGCUUGACUGCGAGACUUACAAGUCAAGCAGGGACGAAAGUCGGGAUUAGUGAUCCGGCACCUCUGAGUGGAAGGGGUGUCGCUCAACGGAUAAAAGGUACCCCGGGGAUAACAGGCUGAUCUUCCCCAAGAGUCCAUAUCGACGGGAUGGUUUGGCACCUCGAUGUCGGCUCGUCGCAUCCUGGGGCUGGAGCAGGUCCCAAGGGUUGGGCUGUUCGCCCAUUAAAGCGGCACGCGAGCUGGGUUUAGAACGUCGUGAGACAGUUCGGUCUCUAUCCGCCGCGCGCGUCAGAAACUUGAGGAAACCUGUCCCUAGUACGAGAGGACCGGGACGGACGAACCUCUGGUNNGAUAACCGCUGAAAGCAUCUAAGCGGGAAACCUUCUCCAAGAUCAGGUUUCUCACCCUUUUAGAGGGAUAAGGCCCCCCGCAGACUACGGGAUUGAUAGGUCAGACCUAGAAGCUCAGUAAUGAGUGCAGGGAACUGGCACUAACCGGCCGAAAACUUACCAAC